UCCCGUUUAGCUCAGUUGGUAGAGCGCGUCACUAGUACUUGCAUAGUGCAAUGACGAGGUCAGUCGUUCGAGUCGGCUAAUGGGAA
This is a non-coding RNA of Trametes polyzona, 86 nucleotides long. The record is from the annotation of a GenBank genome assembly. NCBI's taxonomy places the organism in Eukaryota, Fungi, Basidiomycota, Agaricomycetes, Polyporales, Polyporaceae.